Molecule: transfer RNA, 84 nt
Filed under: Phakopsora pachyrhizi
Lineage: Eukaryota; Fungi; Basidiomycota; Pucciniomycetes; Pucciniales; Phakopsoraceae
Description: tRNA-His
Rfam family: tRNA
About the family: Transfer RNA (tRNA) molecules are approximately 80 nucleotides in length. Their secondary structure includes four short double-helical elements and three loops (D, anti-codon, and T loops).
Source: RNAcentral
GUGGGCGUCUUCUAAUGGUUAGGAAAUCUCGUUGUGGUCAGUUUAGAUUCCGUGAAAAUGUCGGUUCGAUUCCGGCCGCCCACA